Molecule: ribosomal RNA, 616 nt
Filed under: Cutaneotrichosporon dermatis
Lineage: Eukaryota; Fungi; Basidiomycota; Tremellomycetes; Trichosporonales; Trichosporonaceae
Description: LSU rRNA
Rfam family: Eukaryotic large subunit ribosomal RNA
Source: RNAcentral
CGCAAGACUAACUAGGAUUCCCUUAGUACGGCGAGUGAACCGGGAAAAGCUCAAAUUUGUAAUCUGGCUGUCUUCGAUAGUCCGAGUUGUAAUCUAUAGACGUGUUUUCCGUGCUGGACCGUAUCUAAGUCCCUUGGAACAGGGUAUCAAAGAGGGUGACAAUCCCGUGCUUGAUACGACCACCAGUGCUCUGUGAUACACGCUCUACGAGUCGAGUUGUUUGGGAAUGCAGCUCAAAAUGGGUGGUAAAUUCCAUCUAAAGCUAAAUAUUGGCGAGAGACCGAUAGCGAACAAGUACCGUGAGGGAAAGAUGAAAAGCACUUUGGAAAGAGAGUUAAACAGUACGUGAAAUUGUUGAAAGGGAAACGAUUGAAAUCAGUCGUGUUCUUUGGAUUCAGCUAGUUCUUCUAGUCUACUUCCAUUGAACGGGUCAACAUCAGUUUUGUCCGGUGGAUAAAGAUAGUAGGAAUGUAGCUCCCCCGGGAGUGUUAUAGACUAUUAUUGCAUACACUGGGUGAGACUGAGGACUGCAGCUCGCCUUUUGGCCGGUCUUCGGACACGUUCGAGCUUAGGAUGUUGACAUAAUGGCUUUAAACGACCCGUCUUGAAACACGGA